Molecule: non-coding RNA, 221 nt
Organism: Paramuricea clavata
Lineage: Eukaryota; Metazoa; Cnidaria; Anthozoa; Malacalcyonacea; Plexauridae
Source: the annotation of a GenBank genome assembly
AAAUUAUAUAAAAUAAAAUGACAUACUACCAGAUAAAAUCCUCUAGAAUAAACAUGGAUGGGUGGGGUAAAGGUAUCAAAGUGCUAAACUUGCUGCAGCUAGCCAAAGCAUACAAUGGCAGAAUGAAUACCCAGACCGAAGCACUAAUCACAAGGCACGAAACAACCCCCUUUGAUUGAUAUGACAUCACAGACUCCCCUCAUAAUACAUCCUUUCCCCUG